This 468-nucleotide ribosomal RNA is filed under the name uncultured bacterium. RNAcentral describes it as "partial 16S ribosomal RNA". It matches the Rfam family "Bacterial small subunit ribosomal RNA", at positions 28 to 507 of the family's 1533-position model. The record is from RNAcentral.
GACGAACGCUGGCGGCGUGCUUAACACAUGCGAGUCGAACGGAAAGGCCCUGCUUUUGUGGGGUGCUCGAGUGGCGAACGGGUGAGUAACACGUGAGUAACCUGCCCUCGACUUUGGGAUAACUUCAGGAAACUGGGGCUAAUACCGGAUAGGAGCUCCUGCUGCAUGGUGGGGGUUGGAAAGUUUCGGCGGUUGGGGAUGGACUCGCGGCUUAUCAGCUUGUUGGUGGGGUAGUGGCUUACCAAGGCUUUGACGGGUAGCCGGCCUGAGAGGGUGACCGGCCACAUUGGGACUGAGAUACGGCCCAGACUCCUACGGGAGGCAGCAGUGGGGAAUAUUGCACAAUGGGCGGAAGCCUGAUGCAGCAACGCCGCGUGCGGGAUGACGGCCUUCGGGUUGUAAACCGCUUUCGCCUGUGACGAAGCGUGAGUGACGGUAAUGGGUAAAGAAGCACCGGCUAACUACGUG